Molecule: long non-coding RNA, 16054 nt
Filed under: Solanum lycopersicum (tomato)
Lineage: Eukaryota; Viridiplantae; Streptophyta; Magnoliopsida; Solanales; Solanaceae
Description: long non-coding RNA (SLYC_LNC001344)
Source: RNAcentral
UAAGGGAAUCACUUACAUAGUAAGCAGUGACAGUGCCAGCAGAAUUUCCUGGGACAAGUUUGAGCUGCAUGUCAAUUUUACCAAACAGAUAUUCAUUCUUGGGUUGAAAACCAGAGCCAGAGAUUUUGUCAAGUGAGAGAGUAAGGAGGUCGCCAUUGUUAAGUAUUUUUGCUCUGCCAUCACCCCAUGUAAUGUCGAAUUCUUGAUCAAACUUGGCCCAAUUGCAAUGCCAAAAGCACUAAUCAUAAAACACAUUACAAGUACUAACUUAGAAGAAGAAGCCAUGUUUAACUGUUAAGAUUUCAAAGUUUGUUGGAUGAAUUUGAGUUGGAUAGUUAUAUGGGGUUUUAUAAGGGUUUAUACCACCCCCACCUCAACAAUAAAGAAGUAGGUAGAGCAGAGCGUGUGGGGUUAGGCUUGAGGAAGUAAAGAGGAAGGUUCAACGUAAAACAGAAAACAAGGGAAAAAAUAAAGAUUUUGAGCUGGAAACAGGAUUAAAAUGACGGCAUCAAAGCUAAGUGACAGACAUGAGCCCAUAUAUGAUAUUCCGCGGCCUUUUACUAAUCCAACACUACUCCUGCUACGAUCGUGUAAUUUUUGCACCUUUUUUCAGAUUGACCAUUUCAUUUUUUUUUUUAUGUACACCUUCCUAAAUGCAUUUUGUGGGAAAAUGAAUAAAUUCAUUUUAAAAUUUUAUCUCAAACAUUUUUAAAUUAUUAUGGUGAAUUAUUACAUAUUUAUAUUGUUCAAAAGUGAAUUUUUAUUUAUUUCAAACAAAUAGCACCACAAUGAGAGGUGUAUCACAUUCGUGUUAUAUCAAUGUUAUUUUCCUACCUAAUUAGCAGGGGAAAAUAUAUUUAUACCUAAAGUGUAUCACGUGACACGGCUAUAUUAAAUUUUUUUACAAAAUAUAUCUAUAUAAAAAAUGAAAAGAUAAACGCUAAAACAAUUAAAAGAACACUGCUUGUAAUAGAAUGUUCCCAUCUUUGAUUCCUUACGGGAAUUUCUUUUUUUCUUUUCUUAAAUAUAUUAAUUUUUGUUUAAAUUCGAAAUAAUAGGUCCCCUUCAUAAAAAAAAAAACCUAGCGACCCACCCUAAUUCAUUUGAAAUUUAACUAUUUUUUAGAAUUAAAAUAAAACUCAAAAUCUUUUGAGUUCAUUAUCAAUUAGAAUUAUAGUUAAAUAAAAAUAGCGUUAGACUCGUUAAUUCCUUAUAUUUGUAUAUUUGUGACUUUUGGGUUUGUUCAAUUUUCUCUUGUUCUUGUUCAUCAAUUAUUCUUAUUUGACAUCUCGAAUCUCCACAUCAUGUUAGUAAUUUUUUUGCUAUUCUAUUUUUUUUAAAUUAUUAUGUGCUUGAAUUUUUAUUUUUAUUUGUUCAUAAUAAUAAUUUUGUUUUUUACUAUUUCCUUGUUACAAUGAAAUAAUUUAAAUUCAUUAAAUUAAUUACAAUUGUUCUCCCUCUUUUAUUUGAUCCUCAAUUACUAAUGUACAUAUUACGUCAUAUAAGUCUAAAUUAGUCUAAAUUUAAUAGAGAUGUAUUAUUCUAAAAAUAUUACAAUUAUUUAAAGUCAAUUUAAAGACUCAAGCUUUAACUGACCUCGAAUAACAAGCUAAUGAGUCAAAAAAAAAUAUUUACGAAGUGAAAAAAUUAAUUUAAGUUCAUUGCCGAUUGAUGUAAAGAUUAUCUAUUUGAAAGUAUCAUCCAAAUGAUCAUGAUGCAAUAGCUAGAUCAAAUCUUCAAACAAGGUCCAUUCAAGGAGAUCAUAUCUUCAACAAGGUCCAUUCCAACAAGGUCAUAUGUUCCACUUUUUUCAUUUUCUUUUAAAGAUGUCAAUCAUUCAUUUUGCAAAGCAACUUCACGUUGAAUAAUAUUGUAUAAACACUCUAUUUAAUAAAAUGAGGAUGUGAAUGAUUUAAUUUAAAAUUUAAAUAUGUUAAUUAAAAGAGUCGACAAUUUUUUAAAAUUAAUCAAAAUUUAAUAUUUUUAAGAAAAAUAUUUUUUCAUAAAGUUGCCUCAACUUUUUGGAGGCCUAAAGCAAAACCUUUAAUAAUUUUCUUCUUGAGCCAUUUUGAGGCCUUACGAAAUGGAAUUUUCUUCUUGUGUCAUUCUUGUUUCUUUAAUGGUGACAUCGCUUAGAAAAAAUUUUGUGUACGCCAUUGCUUAUUAGAUGCUAUGUCGGAUUUCAGAAAAAAAUUGUGUUUCAAUUAUAUCUUCUUCAAUAAACACCACCGUGAAUCACUACUACUCACCAUAUUAGUACCAAAUCCAGUUUCACCACUAAAAAUCAAGAUAACCACCACAUAUUUCACCACUUACAUCAAAAGCGCCAUUGAAAUCACAUUAUCGCCAUCAUCUCCACGAUAAUUACAAAGAACCACAAUAAAAUUAAACUAUACCCACAACCAAACUCAUCACCAAAAUCACAUCAUCACCAUCAAAAAGUAUUAACUCAUCACCAAACAUUACCACCAUCGUAUCAAUAUUGAUAUCUUCUUUUCACUACCUUAAAAUUCUCUCUUCUUUGCUAUCCUUCACCAAUAAAUCCACCAUUUAGUUUGUCUUUUUAAAAUCAGUUAUCCAUUCUAUCACCAACAAAGCCAAAGAAAAAUAAGCGAAUAUAAUGGAGAUGGUGAAAUCAGAUAAGAAAUAAAUUAGGAAUAGUUAUGAUGAGUUAAGUUAUGAUGGGAUUAAUUAUGAUGGGAAAAAUUAUGUUAAGAUUAUUUUUUACGGAGUGUUUGAUUUGUUGUUUUGAAAAUAAUAAAUCUCAAAAACAACAUAUAUGUUUACAAAAAGAUAAAAUGGUCUGAUGAACCCUUGUACUUGUAUCAGUUUAUAUUUUAAAUCCUUCUACUUACCUCUUUGUCAUCUGAACCCUUGAAAUCAAUAAAACAUAAUUUAACAAAUACCUCUGACCAUUGACCAAACUUAUGUGUCAUUAAGAUGACUAAGUUAGCAAAAGUGUGUAACUUAAAGAAAAUUAUGACUUGACAUGAAUAGAACUGUCAAUAUGGGAUAGCUUACCCCAUCCGGGCUAACCCAUAAAAGCUCUGAUAUUUAAUGGGUCAAGUUGGGCUAGCUCAUUUUUUGCAUGGGCCAGGAAAUGGUCGGCCCAACCCUUAAGUACGUGAGUUACAAGCUUGUCGAAUCAAUCCAUUUUUUAAAAAAACUAUAUUUUUUAUAAUUACAAAAUUAAAUCAUAAUUUAAAAAUAUUAUCAUAAAUAUUGACAAAAUAAUAUUACACGAUGUUAAUAUUAUUAGUUGUUAAUCAAAUCCACAAAUAAAAUUAUCUUUAUAAUAUUUAUUAAGUUUUUUUCAAGUAAAAAUAUAAAUACCUAAAUAGAAAUAUUAAGCUAAUUGUUUUGAGUUUAGACUCUCUUUAAUUUUAAAUUUUCAUAUUAUAUUAUAUUUUUUAAUUAAUUUUAUUUGCUCACGGGCCGACCCUUCCUGUAUUUCUCAAGCCCCACAAAUCAAAAGACUUAUUAAGUUCGGGCUAAAAAAUUAUUUUCUUAAAUGAGCUCAAAAAAUAUUAGUACAGUCCUAUUAAAUCUCGAGUUAUGUCACGCCGACCCAACGGGCCCAGUCCAUAUUGACGGCUCUAGACAUGGAUGUAACAUGUCAUCUGUGCAAGGGAGAGUGAACUACACACAUGGUUGGAGGGAUUCAAAAAUCUCAAUUUAAUUGAGUUUAAGAGUCCAGAUGAUAAAAAGGUAAGUUAAAGGGUUCACAAUUUUAACUGAUAGAAGUAUAAGGGUCUACUAGACCAUUUUGCCUUACAAAAUAACUAUUCAUGAAUGUAAAAAAUAAUGUAUAAAAAGUGUUCAAAAAGAUAUGUUUAGUCAUUUUAUCUUCGAAUUACUAUACCACUCAAGGAAAGGGAUAACUUAUCUCAAUACUAAUUAUUAAUCCUAAAAUAAGUUAUUCCGUACUUGUCAACCAAACAAUAAAUUAAAUGUCACUAUAAUUUAAUCUCAAGUCUAUUUGAAGUUAUCCUUCACACCAAAUGAUCCCUUACAGUAUAAUAGUGGAGGUGGAUGGGGUGGGGUUAAUAGAAAUUGAGUAUGAAAGGUGAUUAAAAGAAAAUGAAAAAAAGAUCUGAAAUAUAUCUAAACUUUGAUAGAAUUAAUUGAUGGAAUAAGUUUUUUGUUCUUCUUGAGCUAGAUCCAUUUUUGUAUCUUCGCAUGUACCUAAAACCUGCACGAGGUGUGAGAAGUUACCCAUUUUAAUAGGUUUUAGAAGAGAUAGGCCGAGGAAGGGUGAAGAUGAUUAGAUGUGAUAUAACACAUUUUUAAAUUAUCGAGAAUAUAAUUUUAAAUAGAAAAAUAUGAAAAUAUUCUAUUAGAGUAGUAGAUUGCCGAAUGUUGUCCUACUUUUAUGCGGAAGCGACAAGGGGCUACUCACCUCUUCUCCUUAUUUAGUAGUAUUUAUUAGUAUUCACAUAGUAUCUUAUUCUUCAAUUUUUACUAUUACUUAGCUUGUUGCUUCAUUUGCUUUGACCAUCUUGAUAUUUUAUUGUUGUUAAAUUUUUUUCAGUCAUGCUUUAAUUAAAUUUCUUUUCAGCCAAGAGGCGAUCACAGAGAUCUCUUUUUUUUAAAAAAAAGGUAAGAUUGAAGUAUGCAUACAUCAUAUCCUCCUCAAGUUUCACUUAUAAAAAUCCACGGAAUACUAUUGAAGAAUAAAUACAGUUAUUUUCCAUGCUAUUCAGUAUGCUAAAAGAAUGUCGUGUAAAUAAGUAUUUUUAUUUCAAGUAUAUAUAGUUGUAUGCCAUGUGUUGAAUUUUCUCAAUAUUUUUGUAAAUUCACUUUUUUAUAUUGUAGAUAUUCUCUAAAUAAAAAAAUUAGCUCCGCCACAUAUUGUUCUCUUAUUGAAAGCUCCAUUGCGACUUUGCAAUCAAUGACCAUUUCUGCAGUUCUUAAUUUGUGUACACGUACGAAUCAAAUUACCACUCUUGAUUAGGGUUGCGUAUUGAUUAAUUUGGUUUGAUUUGGUUUUGAAGUUUAUUAAUUUGGCUUAUUUGUUAUCAGUUUGUAGAAAUGUUAAAGUAUUAUAGAAUCAUAAGAUAUUAGCUUAUCGGUUAUUGAUCUAUCAAUUUUUAUCGUUAUUGGCUCGGUUAUUGGUUUAACCGUUAAGAUUUGACACAAAAAAAAUUAUUGAAAACCAUGUAGGAACAAGGUGAAAAACUAAACCAUGCAUAUGAGUUCACAAGAUAGAUCUUGCUAAAAAAUAAAACACUUUUUACAUUGUAGAAUAACUAAAACAACCAAAAAUAAAAGUAGAAAACCAAACUCCAAGUCAAAAACUUUAAUUUAUAUACAAAAUGGUAUAAAUAUAAUUAUUUAAUUUACUAUCGAAUUAUCGGUUAACCCGUUUAAAAAAAAUUAAAUAGUCAAAAUCGACAAUCCAAUAACAAAAAAAUUGAAAUUGUUAUUAAAAGUACUAAAUCAAUAAAUCAAUACUAAUAAAUCAAUAUAUUUAUUUAUUCAAAUUAUCAAUUUCAAUUUAAUUUUAAACGAUAUUACUUUUGACUUCCGGCGGAAAAUAAUUCACAUGAUUUUUGUUCUUUUAAUUUGUCUAGUUGUAAACCACAAUAAUAGCCAUCUUUUUUGCAAAGGAUAUUUUUCCUCCCUCUAAAGUUCAGUCUAUCCUCAAUUAAUUUAAUGAGAUAUUAUGUAUCUUUAGCCAACAUAGGUAUUAAAUUCCUGAGAUAUUAUGUAUCUGUAGCCAACAUAGGUAUUAAAUAUCAUCAGGUUAUCAAGGAGCAAAACAAGUAUUAUAUUAGGUAAAGAAUAUUGCAAUAGUAAUAUUUUUUUUAAAAAAAGAGUAAUCUAUCUAUAUAGCUAGUAUUUUUAUCUCUAUUAUGUAGAAUUUAGAAAGGAGAUCUCAUAAUUUUUAGCCUCUUUCAUUGAUUACUAGUCUAUAUCUUAAAGAGUACUCUUCAUUAUUUAAAUGUCCCAGAGAUUCUUCACAAAUUUUUGUAUAACUUAUACAACUAUGGGUAGGUAUUUAGAUUUAAAAUAAGUUAUUUAUAUAUAUAUUAAUACGGCGUUUGAUUGAUAAUUUAAAAAUCCAUAAUAUUAAUAAAUGUGUAAGUUAUGAGGAAUAUGUAUUAUUAUAUGCUGGAUAGAAGGUGAAAUAAAUACUUAAUACAUAAAUAACUAAUCCAUGCAUAAAAUUUAUAUAUAAAUUUACUCAUCACUAAUUCUUACAUUAUCAAUACAUACAUAACUCUAACCCUUUCUCAAACAACCUCUAUAUGUAAUAUGUACUAUGUAUUAAAUUUCUAUAGUUGUUACAUUAAUUUAUUUUUUUAUAUUUUGAUAUUCUUUCAUUAUGAAAAUUCUAUCUCCGUCCCUUUUUAUUCUCUAUUCCAAUCAAUGACCACUUGAUUAUUUUGUAUAGCAAUAAAUGGCCAGUUUAGUCUUCUCAUAAAGAUAACAUUGAGAUAUUAGUUAUUUAGCUUGUGUGAAGUAACCAUAAACUAUGGACUUUGAGAUACGCGUGAGAUACUAUAUAAAUAGGUCAUAAAAUUUACAAAAAGGGUAAACUACAGAAAUUCUACUAGAUUAGGUUUGUUGGAAUUCUGACCUUCAAAUUCGCCGUAGAAACAGAUUUAUUUUAUAUGUUCCUUUACAAAAUUACAACAAUUACUUUUUCUAAAGCAAAUAAAAUAAUGACGCAAUAUUUUACUGCGAAAAAACCUCAACUCACAAGGGUAAAAAGCACGACCUACACCUCUGUAAGAUUUAACUCCACUUUAUUAAAUUUCAAAUCUCAACAAAACAUUACAAAGUUGUGUAAUCUAAGGAAUUAUAAACUCUAAUUCCAAGAGAGAUUAAAAACUCUAAUUUCUAGCUAAGAAAUUAUAAACUCUAAUUUCUAGCUAUCCGAAGACACAAAACCCCCGAUUUUGUAUCUUCUAAUAUUUUUCAAGUUCUACAACUUGUCGAACAACUUCUACUCACAAAACUCAGAUUGUUAACAAGACUCUUGAAUACAAUCUUGAACAAUUUUUCCUCACAAAUUUCAACACCCCCAAUAAAUCUCAAAACUCUCUCAAACCUCUUGAUCGUGUUUUGAUCUUCUCUUUAUGUAAGUGCACAAUUUUUUCUGAUGCAAAUAGCUCCCUAUUUAUAGAUCAAAACUUCAACAAAUCCUUAUGUAAUUCAACUUGUAUUUGCCUUCUUCAAAUCCUUGUUGACUUCUACUUGGACUUCAAACAAAACUGCGUAUCAACUUCCUUCAACAAAUCCUUUUUGAACAUAAAAUCCUUGCUGCGCUUUAACUAGAAUAAACACUUCAUCAAUGCUGCAUCAAGAUUUUGCCACAUCGAGCAACACAUAAUAUUUCUUUCCUGUAGACUCAAGGAAAACUUACGUACAAUUUCCUUAAACAAGUAGGAAGUAGUUUUCCUUCUUUGUUUAGGAUAGGAAAACUUACACACAAUUUCCUUAAAUAAAUAAGAAAACCUUCCACAAAUUUCCUUAAUUAAAUAAAAAAACAUUAUUGAUUACGAAUUCCUUUUUCAACUUGGUUGCAAACUCUUUUAUGAAAGGAAACUUUAUGUACUUGUUGGUUAUCGAAAAAAUUAAUAUUUCCACACCUUUAUAUCUUCUAAUUCGCGAGGUUGACGUUCUCCUUAUCCAAGUCAGAUUCGGUCUGUAAGGAACAUGUCGGGAAACCUGUUUCUUUCAUAUGUUCCUGUAUUUUGUCAAUUAUCAAAAUCUUUCGCAUUCUAACAAAUUUCCCCUUUUUGAUGAUGACAAACAUACAUUAGAACACAACAGAUAAGACACACAUCUUCACCCAUUUUCCAUAUUAUUUGUACAACUCCUUAACUCUGUCAUACUUCAAAACAAAUAGACUUUAACAAAUUCCCCCUUUUUGACUAUGGCAAGUUUUAUCUGCUUGCAUUGAAUAUGUACACAUAACUCAUAUGCAGUUGCUUUCCCCUUUUGACAUCAAACGAAAAUAAAACACUUGUGAAGGCAUACACCAUACUAAGAUAAAUAAAUUUGAUACUUACACAAACACUUAAGAAUUAAAAAGCUAGUUAGCUAUAGCAAAGCGUUUGCACAAACAUAUGAGAUAUCUAUGAACCUGAAACUCAAAUCCAACAUUAGCAUUGAUCAAAAAUCAUAUACACCACAAAUGUAAUCAAAAUCAAAAAUAGAAUCAAGCACUUGUGAUGAGAAAAAAUUUAAAAGUCAAAGGCUAGAGGACUAGGUAAUACCAAAAGAUGAGAGGAUAAAUAAAAGUCAUUUUUCAGCAACAAAGAUAUUUUUUGGAUUAACAAAAUUAGCGAUUUUCUCAAUUUCAAAGUUACCUUGGUCUAUGAACACUCAAUCCCCCUUUUUUUUAUAUAACUUUUAAGGAACUUGUUAACCAAUCAUGUUCCUUCUGCAGAAGCAAUAGUUCACUCAUCUUUAAUUUCAAUAGAGUCAGCAAGAGAAACAAUUUUUCUUGAGUAUCACUUCUAAAGGAACAUGUUCUCUCAAUCUAUUCCCUGGAGGUGUACUAUCAGGUGCAGCACCAACUAUAAAAAAAUAUUUUAUAUCAAUUCGAAAUCCUAGUUCAUAUGGUUCCCAAUAGAAGAACUAUGUUCGACAGAUGGAUCUCUCAUUGAUUCCCCCUUACUAGAUGCAUCCAAGUUGAGCCUAACAAGUGAACUUUGUUCAAGUAUAGGGUCUCCAAAAUAUUCCCCCUCACAAUUUAAAUCCUCCAAGACUUUACUCGAUACAAAAGAUUCCCCUAAGAACCAGCACACUCUACUUUCUUAAUCUGUAUUUAUAAGGCACCAAAGUAGAGGUGUCCUCCAUCAAGUUCAUCUCAACCAUAGACCAUCACAUUGGGAUAAGGCUUUUUAAGAAGAUAUUUAUUUUGAUAUUAUUUAGGGUAUGAAUAUCUUUAGGGACAAGUGGAAGAAAUAGGUUCAAGUGCAUUGACUUUAUAUUUAAUCAUGAAUAAUUGUAGUGCACAUACCUUAGAUCUCUGGAUAAUGCUGAAUUUUGCUUCAAUUUUACUAACCUCUCUCCUGUGCUUAGAUGCAAAUACAAUGUUAUAGUGCAUGAAUGACUUUAAAAGUGGUAUAGAGACAUACAACUUAAUAUACAAAAAACUGAGCAUAGAAUUCAAGAUUAGAGGGCAGUAUGCGCAAUGUUCAUUAGCCAUUUAGAGAUACUCAUGUAACCUUAAUCAUCCCCAAGUUCCAAAUUUUUCUUUUUGAAAGUUUUUUCCUUGGCUGAUAAUACUUUUAUAUUGAUUGAUCAUCUGAGUGCGCGUAACUGUUAGAUACUGUAUAGGUUGGACUUGUUCCUUUCACAUGUUCCUUUUUGCCUUUUCUCUUUUUUUAACCCUUUUUUUUCAAAUGAGAGGAAUUUCUUCUAUUUUCAAUCAUGCAUCUGAAACAACAUGUUCAAUUGGUGAAUGUUGUCUGCUUCCUCUCACUUAACCUGCAAAUUCAAAGGUUAGAUUUAGGAACCCAGACUAGAUUGGGUCCUUUUUUUUAUCAAAAGGAUAAAUAAGAUCUCUACGAGCCCAUUUUGGCAGACUGUUUUUAGGAAUAAACUUGUUCCUCUGAACAGUUUCUUAAGUUCCUUUUAUUUUAUUUUCUCCGGUAGCUUUAUAUUUAGGACAAUAUUGUUUAAUGUGACCUGAGUUACCACAAAUAAUACAAAACAUAGGAUUCCUAUUUAUGGAUUGUUCAUACCCUAUUCCAGUUUUAAUGUUCCUAGUAUUGUUACCUAGAUGGGUUACUAUCAUGGAGGAUUUUGUCCAUUUAUUAGCUCUUUCAGAUCAGUUUUUUUCUAGACAAUUCAAGAUUCAUUCUCCUAGAAUUUUUUAUUUCCGAAGAUAGUUCAUUGUUUAACCUCAUUAGAGCUUGGUCACAUCUGAAUUGGUCACCACUACUUUUUUCUUUUUUCUUUUCCAGUAACACUAUGUUUCAGAAUUUCAGAUAUGAAAGUCAAAGUGCAGGAACCAAGUUGUUGUACCUGUUCCUUUAGGAGUUGAUUUUCUUUCUUGAGAUCAGAAUUAACUUUUUCAAGAUCAAUAUAUUCAAACUUUAAACUAGUCAUGGAAGCAAACAAUUGAUUCUUGGUUUUAACUAGUUCUUGAUUGUAUCUAUGGAAGUGAGUAAUAAGAAGGAUAGUUUUUUUUUAGAGAAUUUUACUAAUUUAUCUUUUAAAUCAAAAAGAUUUACCUGCAUUCCUUCAGAGUCUAAUUCAGGUUCUGUUUCUGAUUCUUCUAAGGCCAUCAACGCGAGGUCCUCAUUAUCUUCAUCAUACCUCACGGAACUUGUUCCCCAGGCAGCAUACAUCGCUUGUUCCUUCUCUUUAUUUUUUCUUUUGUUUAAAAGUUCUCUGUUCUCCUUUUCAGCUCUUUAUUUCUUCAUUCUACCUCCCACAUAGGACAAUUUUUAAUUUGAUGAUCAGUUUUUCCACACUUGAAGCAUCCUUCACUUUAUGGUUUCUGUGUGUUCUUUUUUUUAGUGUGUUUUACCUUCUUUUUUCAGAAUUUAAGUUCCUUUUUUAAGAAUUUCUUGAAGUUUCUACUUAUCAGUGUCAAUUCAUCAUCAUCCAUAUCUGAUUCAUCACUUUCAGUUGCUUUAAAUUCAAGAUUUUUCUCUUUGUUUCCUUCACCUCUUUUGCAACAUUCAUCUCAUAAGUUUUGAGAUUUCCUACUAAUUAAUCCAAAGUCAUAUGGUUGGAUUCUUGGAUUCUCUGAUUGAAGUAACUUUUAUUUCCCAUGAUCUAGGUAGAGUCCGUAGUACUUAGUCUACCUGUUCCUCAGUGGUGUAUACUUUGCCCAAGGAUAUCAACUCGUUUAUAACAGUGGUAAAUCUGGUGAUCAUAUCUUGUAGUGAUUCUCCGGAUUUCAUCUUGAAGGCUUCAUAUUCAAAACAAAGUCUGACAAUUCUGAAUUACGAACUUGAGUUGUACCUUCGUGAGCAUUUUUUAAAGUGUCCCAAUUUAUUUUGCAGAGGUACAAUUAGAGAUACAGUUAAACUCAUCAGUACCUAGUCCACAUACAAAAAUGCACUUUGCUUUUGCAUUCUUCCCUAGCAUCUUGUAAUCAGUUUCUCCGUAUUUUUCUGUAGGUUUAGGUACCUUAUUCCCUUCACUAAAGUAAUAGAAGGAAUUAAUGGUCCAUUAGUAAUUUUAACUCAUAGUUCGAAAUUUUCAACUUGAAUGAAGUAUUCCAUCGUUGUCUUCCACCAAGAGUAGUUAUCUCCAUUAAAUAAUGGUGGUCUGUUGGUGUGUUUCCCUUGACCAUGCCCAGGAGGAGGUGCAGAAUUCAUAAUGAUCUUAUCUUGAGUUAUUAAACUCUAUAAAGAUAAUAUGCUCUGAUACCACUUGUUGGAAUUCUGACCCUCGAAUUCACCUUAGGAACAGGUUUAUUCUAUAUGUUCCUUUGCAGAAUUACAACAGUUACUUGUUGUAAAGCAAAUAAAAUAAUGACACAAUAUUUUAUCGCGGAAAACCCCAACUCACAAGGGUAAAAACCACGACCUACACCUCUGUAGGAUUUAACUCCACUUUAUUAAAUUUCAAGUCUCAACAAAAGAUUACAAAGCUAUGAAACCUAACGAAUUAUAAACUCUAAUUCCUAGAGGAAUUAUAAACUUUAACUCCUAGCUAAGAAAUUAUAAACUCUAAUUUCUAGCUAUCCGAAGACACAACACCCCCCGAUUUUGUAUCUUCUAACGUUUUUCAUGUUCUACAACUUGUCGAACAACUCCUACUCACAAAACUCAGAUUGUAAACAAGACUCUUGAAUACAAUCUUUCAAUUUUUUCUCACAAAUUUCAACACCCCCAAUAAAUCUCAAAACUCUCUCAAACCUCUUGUAUAAUUCAACUAGUAUUUGCCUUCUUCAUAUCCUUGUUGCUUCUACUUGGACUUCGAACAAAACUGCAUAUCAACUUCCUUCAACAAAUCUUUUUUGAACAUGAAAUCCUUGUUGCACUUUAACUAGAAUGAACACUUCAUCACUGUCGCAUCAAGAUUUUGCCGCAUCGAGAAACACAUAAUCUUUCUUUCCUUUAGACUCAAGAAAAACUUACGUACAAUUUCCUUAAACAAGUAGAAAGUAGUUUUCCUUCUUUGUUUAGGAUAAGAAAACUUACGCACAAUUUCCUUAAAUAAAUAAGAAAACCUUCCACAAAAUUUCCUUAAUUAAAUAAGAAAACAUUAUUGAUUGCGAAUUCCUUUUUCAACUUGGUUGAAAACUCUUUUAUGAAAGUAAACUUUAUGUACUUGUUGGUUGUCGAAAAAAUCAAUAUUUCACAGCUUUAUAUCUUCUAAUUUGCAAGGUUGACGUUCUCCUUAUCCAAGUCAGAUUCGAUCUGUAAGGAACACGUCAAGCAACCUGUUUCUUUAAUCUAUUCUUGUAUUUGUCAAUUAUUAUAAUCUUUCUCAUUCUAACAAAUUCUCCUUUUUUGAUGAUGACAAACAUACAUUAUGAACACAACAGAUAAGACACACAUCUUCACCCUUUAACAAGGUUUUAAUUAUUAAGAUUUCCAAUAGUUUCAAAUAUUACUUUCUCUAUCAUAUUUCAUACUUAGGAUACAUGAGUCUGAUUCAUAGAUACUUAUCUGCGGAAUUUAAAAAUUGAAGUACAAAAUUUAUUUAUUUAAAUUAAUUGAUUGUAAUUGAUUUCCUUGAUUAUAGGAGUAAUUGAGAAUUUUUAAAAUAUAUAGAUAAUUAAUUUCAUUUUUUUAUUCUUUGAAAUAGUAAAUUUAUUAUUAAUAAUAAUAUAAGAUAAAAACAUGUAUAUCUUGGUAAUGUAAUUUGAUUAAUUUCAAAUGAUUACUCUUAAAAAAAUAAAUUUAUUAAUUUGAUAUAUCUAUUAUCAAUACAUGAUGUAUCUAACAAACUAAAUACUUAGAUACACAGUGUCAUACAAGUACAUGCAUAUUUGUCAAAGUAUCUAGCAUUAAUUUCACGUAUUUGUUAUACGUAUAUUGUAUUUCAUGUAAUUUCUUGUAUCUUUUAUAUGUAUCUCGUAUUAAUUUGAUGUAUCAAGUAGAGUAUAUGUUUUAUCAUUAAUAUCAUUGUGUAGUUAAAAAUCAUGUAUUCAAAUUUAAUGAUGGAUACAUAUACAUGUUGAGAUACCCCAUUACUAAAAAUACAACUCAGAUCUUAAUUAAGAUUACUACUUAUUAGAUACACAUGUUUCAACGGUUAUAUUAAAGUAACAUUAGUACUACAACACCCAUGUCACAGUAACAAAGAAAGUCUUAGAAGAACACUAGCAAACAAAGACUCUACAUUACUCCUUUGUAACAUUUUGCGUUGUGUCAUAAAAUAAUUAAAACUAAGAUUUAUUUCAUCCGUAUACAAAUCAAUCAAGACCCAGUCUGAAUUGAAAGAUUUCUCGGUAGCAGUUACUUUGAUUUGAUCUUGUUAUAAUGAAAAAACAAUCAAGACCCACUCUGAAUUGAAAGUUUUCUCUAUAGCAGUUACUUCGAUUUGAUCUCGUUAUAAAUGAACAAUACAGAAUAAUAUUCAGGUUCAGGAGAAUUUAUUGGUCAUGGUGAUGAUAUCUUGAAAAGAAGAGAGUAGAGUAGCUAUUGUUGAAAUGAAAUUGUACGGUGAAAUUCUUGAAUCGAAAAGAAUGAUAUAUAAUUGAGUGAUAAAUAUGAGAAGGGAGAAUUAAGAGAUCGUGGUUGAUUUGGAGCGAAAGAGUUAAUUAAACAGAUAAUGAAUCAAUCCUAGUUUUAAGGGAUAUGAGUAUCUAAUUGUAUCUUCAUAUAAUAUAUUAAUAUAUAUGAUAUAAAAUACUAAAAGUCGUAAUAUAUGUAAUUAUUUGAAAGUAAAGAUAAUAUUAGUAUAUAUACUAAUGAUGUAUGUUUAAUAAGUAGUUUAUCCUUUAAAAUAAUUGCUAAUGUAUACUCAAAUUUAAAGUAAUUCAUGAAAUACUCAUUUUCUUAUAAAUAAUUACAACGCAUGUCCUCCAUUAAUUAAGGUUAUUAUAAUUUUUGCUUAAGUGAUACUAAAUUAGUAUCAUAUAAUGUAUUGGUAACAUUAAAAAUUUUUCUCUUAACUAAUAUUGAAUCAGUAUUAUUAAGGCUGAUAAUUUCACUUAACUUGAUACUAAAUUUUGUUGAGAAAUUACUCAUUAGAAUAUAUUUCAUAUCCAAAUAAUUAAUGCACCUUCUGUUGAUGCAGAACAAUAAAAGAAUCAAUAUAAUAGUUUUACAGAUCAUAAGUAAAAGAAUACAAAAAAUUUCACGGUAAAUGCUCAGCUAUUCUGAAGACAAUCUACUGGAAAUCCUUGUGGAAAUCGUUCAGAAUCAGUGCAGUAAUUAUAAAAAAUAUUGAAAAAAUAUGUUUACCAAGUAGUGGCAAGUUGGUAAAACCAAGCACCAUUUUCUCAAGUUCUUCCCAAAUAUAUUAAUGGUCAAACUUAUCCUAAAUAUUUAGGCUUUUCUCCCGCCUUCUCAUCAAUUAAGAUAGAAAUUUGAAAUGAUGCAAAUUCACCUUUUAUUAUGUAUCUCCAUCUUAAAGUCUCUUUAUUUUACUAUGCAUUUUCUUUAUUUGGAGAAUAAAAUUGAGAGUGUCUUCUCCGGACUCUCUCUAUUUCACCACUAACCUCUAAUUAUAUAGAGUUGAAUAUUAGUUCUCCAAAUCAACCACAAACAUUAGUUAUAGUUUUGAAGAGAGGCAAGGCAAUAAACAAUUAAUGGUUUUGUGAAAGAACCAAGAAUACCUGAUAUAUACUUUUGUAAAUGCAAAAGAGAAGAUACAGAGAAUAAAUCUAGAUUUCUUUUUGUUUUCCAUCUUAUUUUUUAGGCUUUGGGCUGUUCACUUUUGGAUAAAACUAGCCCACUAGGUCAAAUUAGAAGAAGAAAAAGUAUCUAUUUCAUUGUUUAUAUAACUUAGUACAAAACUAAGAUGUUUCUAAUCCUCAAUAAUUAUUGCAUCUUCUACUGAUGGGUACAAAACAAUAAAAGAAUCAAUACAAUAGUUUUUAAAGUAAUACACUAUUUUUUCAUUAUUAAUGCUCAGAUAUUCUGAACACAAUCUGCUGGAAAUCCCUGUGGAAAUCGCUUUGAAUCAGUGCAGUAAUCAUAAACCAUGUAAUUCUUCUGCACCCAUUUGAGCCUCUCUUGGCUUGUGUUAUCUAACUCUUCAUUCAACCAUGAAUUGCUUGUUGAAGCUGCAGAAUUGGAACUGCAAGAAGAUGAAGAAGUGGGAAUGCAAGCAUUAGCACUGAAGUUUCUGUAAGAAGCACUAAAGGGUGCUUGGCUCCAAUCAGUCUUAACAAGGCCUCCUCUUGUAGCCCAAUCAUCAGCAUUCCAAAGACUCGAAUAUAUCCUCAUGGGUUGGUUCUUUGGAUAUGAAACUCCAAUCGAUUCACUAUUCUUGUAUUCUCUAAUUGGCGUUCCGUCCACAUAAAAUCUGUUUCAACCAUAAAAAUAAGAGAACCCCAAAUCAAGAUUUAUCCCAAAAGAAUGUGUUAGAUUUGAAGAAAGUUUGAAUGUUUAACUACUUACAUGAUGCGUUGUGGAUUCCAAGUGAUGGAAUACGUGUGGAAAUCAGCAGUAGGGUCAAACCAGAGAUGAAAUUGUUGUUCUCUGUUUCCUUUGCCUUGACUAAAUACAUUAGUAUGGAGAGUAUAAGGAUCACCACUUAAAUUUCCCAAGAAUUCAAAAUCUAUCUCAUCAUGUGUUGGUCCUUGUGAUGACAACUGCAGUAAAAGAGUUUAAUUUCAGGGGAUAUUCACGUAUAGAUAGCUCAAAAAUGAUUCAGAAAUCAAGGGAAUUACUUACAUAGUAAGCAGUGACAGUGCCAGCAGAAUUUCCUGGGACAAGUUUGAGCUGCAUGUCAAUUUUACCAAAGAGAUAUUCAUUCUUGGAUUGAAAACCAGAGCCUGAGAUUUUGUCAAGUGAGAGAGUAAGGAGGUCGCCAUUGUUAAGUAUUUUUGCUCUGCCAUCACCCCAUGUAAUGUCGAAUUCUUGAUCAAACUUGGCCCCAAUUGCAAUGCCAAAAGCACUAAUCAUAAAACACAUUACAAGUACUAAUUUAGAAGAAGAAGAAGCCAUGUUUAAUU